RNAcentral lists this long non-coding RNA (440 nucleotides) under Equus asinus (donkey). RNAcentral's name for it is "lncRNA (ENSEASG00005037858.1)". Lineage: Eukaryota; Metazoa; Chordata; Mammalia; Perissodactyla; Equidae. The record is from RNAcentral.
CUGGGUUUAUACAGCCAAACCCUUGAAGCUUAUGUUAAAUGGACCUCUAGGCGGAACUGGUGCUCUUGGGAGAAAUGCUGAGUUCAGAAUCAAGUCCUGGUAAAUCUAACGCCGUCAAGUUGCAGUGAGCCAAAAACGAGACACAAGGUGAAGGUGAAUGAUGUUUCAUUGGCGCUUACGUUAAGCUUCCACUCCAUCUUCAUGUCUCUGGAAGGGCACGCAAGACACAGCCACAGCCGCUGCCUCUGGGGCGGGGAUUGGGCGCUGCGAGUUAGAACUGGGAAGAGCACUUUCUUACCACAUACCUUUAGCCUUGUGUGAAUUUUAACCACGUGCAACUGCUGUGUUUUCAAACAAUAAGAGCUACCAACAGAACAACACCACAGAUUUCUCUCCAGCAAACAGUUUGGGGGCAAUUAAGAGAACUAUCUUACCCAAAG